Molecule: ribosomal RNA, 459 nt
Filed under: uncultured bacterium
Lineage: Bacteria
Description: bacterial SSU rRNA
Rfam family: Bacterial small subunit ribosomal RNA
Source: RNAcentral
UGGGGAAUAUUGGACAAUGGGCGAAAGCCUGAUCCAGCCAUGCCGCGUGUGUGAAGAAGGUCUUCGGAUUGUAAAGCACUUUAAGUUGGGAGGAAGGGCAGUUACCUAAUACGUGAUUGUUUUGACGUUACCGACAGAAUAAGCACCGGCUAACUCUGUGCCAGCAGCCGCGGUAAUACAGAGGGUGCAAGCGUUAAUCGGAAUUACUGGGCGUAAAGCGCGCGUAGGUGGUUAGUUAAGUUGGAUGUGAAAGCCCCGGGCUCAACCUGGGAACUGCAUUCAAAACUGACAAGCUAGAGUAUGGUAGAGGGUGGUGGAAUUUCCUGUGUAGCGGUGAAAUGCGUAGAUAUAGGAAGGAACACCAGUGGCGAAGGCGACCACCUGGACUGAUACUGACACUGAGGUGCGAAAGCGUGGGGAGCAAACAGGAUUAGAUACCCUUGUAGUCCCUGAGCGGGC